RNAcentral lists this ribosomal RNA (465 nucleotides) under Vreelandella stevensii. RNAcentral describes it as "partial 16S ribosomal RNA". It matches the Rfam family "Bacterial small subunit ribosomal RNA", at positions 338 to 795 of the family's 1533-position model. Lineage: Bacteria; Pseudomonadati; Pseudomonadota; Gammaproteobacteria; Oceanospirillales; Halomonadaceae. The record is from RNAcentral.
CCUACGGGAGGCAGCAGUGGGGAAUAUUGGACAAUGGGGGGAACCCUGAUCCAGCCAUGCCGCGUGUGUGAAGAAGGCCCUCGGGUUGUAAAGCACUUUCAGUGAGGAAGAACGCCUGGUGGUUAAUACCCAUCAGGAAAGACAUCACUCACAGAAGAAGCACCGGCUAACUCCGUGCCAGCAGCCGCGGUAAUACGGAGGGUGCGAGCGUUAAUCGGAAUUACUGGGCGUAAAGCGCGCGUAGGUGGCUUGAUAAGCCGGUUGUGAAAGCCCCGGGCUCAACCUGGGAACGGCAUCCGGAACUGUCAAGCUAGAGUGCAGGAGAGGAAGGUAGAAUUCCCGGUGUAGCGGUGAAAUGCGUAUAGAUCGGGAGGAAUACCAGUGGCGAAGGCGGCCUUCUGGACUGACACUGACACUGAGGUGCGAAAGCGUGGGUAGCAAACAGGAUUAGAUACCCGUGUAGUC